CGCAUCUGUGCAUGCAGCAUAUCAAUAAGCGGAGGAAAAGAAACUAACAAGGAUUCCCUCAGUAACGGCGAGUGAAGCGGGAAGAGCUCAAAUUUGAAAUCUUGAAAGGUCUACCUUGCACGAAUUGUAGUUUAAAGAAGUGUUUUCUGUGACGAUCUGGUAUAUAAGUUCUUUGGAAUAGGACAUCACUAGAGGGUGAGAAUCCCGUCUAUGAUUGCAUAUUUGUAGCUUUGUGAUACACUUUCAAAGAGUCGGAUUGUUUGGGAAUGCAGUCCCAAAACGGGAGGUAAAUUUCAUUCUAAAGCUAAAUAUUGGCGAGAGACCGAUAGCGAACAAGUACCGUGAGGGAAAGAUGAAAAGAACUUUGAAAAGAGAGUUAAAUAGUACGUGAAAUUGUCAAAAGGGAAGCGUUUAAACACCAGUGUUGUUUUCUGAAAAUCAACCUCUGUUAGCUUUAUGCAUGUUUGUUUAGACCUAAUCAGCUAUCUUGCAUGUUCUAUUGUUUGCAGUGAUGCACUUUUCAGUUUACAGGUCAACAUCAGUUUUUUUUACCGUAAAAAAGUUAAAGAAAGGUAGCUCAUGGCUCCGGUCGUGAGUGUUAUAGUCUUUUUCCUAUGCGGUAGGAGAGACUGAGGUCUGCAGUGUAGGCUAUUUGGCUAGAUACUCAGGUGCUAUGUGAUACCAUUUCAUAAACAACUUGUUGAUUAUGUUUUGUCUAUUGCAUACUCGCUUGUACUAUCAUACCUACGCUUAGGAUGUUGACGAUCAGCUGAGCGCG
RNAcentral lists this ribosomal RNA (778 nucleotides) under uncultured Neocallimastigales. RNAcentral's name for it is "partial large subunit ribosomal RNA". The stretch from base 1 to 668 matches the Rfam family "Eukaryotic large subunit ribosomal RNA", at positions 26 to 664 of the family's 3401-position model. Lineage: Eukaryota; Fungi; Neocallimastigomycota; Neocallimastigomycetes; Neocallimastigales. The record is from RNAcentral.